CCUACGGGAGGCUGCAGUGGGGAAUAUUGGACAAUGGGCGAAAGCCUGAUCCAGCCAUGCCGCGUGUGUGAAGAAGGCCUUCGGGUUGUAAAGCACUUUCAGUGGGGAAGAAAGCCUUGGGGCUAAUACCCUCGAGGAAGGACAUCACCCACAGAAGAAGCACCGGCUAACUCCGUGCCAGCAGCCGCGGUAAUACGGAGGGUGCGAGCGUUAAUCGGAAUUACUGGGCGUAAAGCGCGCGUAGGCGGUCUGAUAAGCCGGUUGUGAAAGCCCCGGGCUCAACCUGGGAACGGCAUCCGGAACUGUCAGGCUAGAGUGCAGGAGAGGAAGGUAGAAUUCCCGGUGUAGCGGUGAAAUGCGUAGAGAUUGGGAGGAAUACCAGUGGCGAAGGCGGCCUUCUGGACUGACACUGACGCUGAGGUGCGAAAGCGUGGGUAGCAAACAGGAUUAGAUACCCCGGUAGUC
This 465-nucleotide ribosomal RNA is filed under the name Vreelandella stevensii. Its description in RNAcentral is "partial 16S ribosomal RNA". It matches the Rfam family "Bacterial small subunit ribosomal RNA", at positions 338 to 795 of the family's 1533-position model. The record is from RNAcentral. Lineage: Bacteria; Pseudomonadati; Pseudomonadota; Gammaproteobacteria; Oceanospirillales; Halomonadaceae.